UACUUAUUACCCUCACCAUUAAGGUAAUUGGGUUUCAGGUUAGGGUAUGGUUUUAUUCUCAUCCUUGAAGGAUGCACUGAAGAGAUACCUGAAGUCGUGGGCUUCGUCAGACUCCUUUUCCUAUGCACACAUUUGUAUGAGGAAGUUUAAUUUGUGAGUGAGGCACAGUAAGAGACGAGCAACAAUAACACAGUUAUCAUCUCUAAAUGGUACUGGACUAACGGUCUUAGGAAGCUUAUGGUUUUCCCCCCAUAUAAAAAUUGCCAGCAUCUCAUGUUUGAAAGACAACAUCAGGUAUAAAAAAGAGCACUGUGUUGUCACAGGUAACCCAACAACUGAGAUGGCUACUAGAGGACUAGCGGGUGGAUAGACUCACAACAUGGAUUCACCUCGUGAAAGGAUGAUUCUUAUCUCGUCAGAGCCCAGAGAGAGAGAGAGAGAGAGAGAGAGAGAGAGUGCAUGAGUUCGUGCUGUCCUUAGGCAAGAGCACAUGCAAAACUUACCAGUUACUUUUUUGCCUGACUUUUUAUUUAAUACUUUUGAAUUUGAAUCAUGAUUGACCACUGGUGGCUAAAGCCACAGAAAACCAAACCACAGACAAAUGGGGAAUGCUGUCUCCACUGCAGACGUCAGUCAGGUGCUCCUUGCGGUCCUGUUUAAGCAUCAGUUAGGAGGGCCAAACAGCUGGAUACUACUUUAUGGUUGGAUGUUUAUGAAGCCUUCUAACAUGGCUACCUCAUAACUCAUUUUUAGAGGACAGGAGAUGGUUUGGUAGGGUUUUGUUGUUGUUGUUUUGUUUGUUUUUGCUUUUUUCUCCUUGCUGAUAGUGUCUGGCCUCACCUUCUGCAAGGUGGCGUUCGUCUCACAGGAAAUCGACUCUGUGCAGACGUCAUCAUCCUCUACGGUGUUAAGCAUCCUCAGUGCUUCACCCGGGACAGCAUCUUCACCCCGGACAGCAUCUUCACCCGGGACAGCAUCUUCACCCGGGACAGCAUCUUCACCCGGGACAGCAUCUUCACCAGGGACAGCAUCUUCACCCGGGACAUCUCUCCUGGCCCAGAGUCUCUUCCUGUGCUUCUGGAAAACCGAUUACCAAAGUGUUUCCUGGAUUGGGAGACUGGAUGAUUAUUUGGAAAGAAAAGUCAUCAUUCUGUGGAGUAAAGGAAUAGAGAAGAAGUAAGAAACCAGCCUGUCGUACAUCUGCUCAACUGAAAGAAAGGUAUAAACUCCUGCGGCAAGAUGGGAGGUGGAGACAGAAGAGCCAUCUGGAAUCUCCGAGGCCAUGUAGCUUGCAGGUUAUAGCAUGGCAGAGGUGGGAGAGGCUGCCUCACCACAAGGGGCGGGAGAGUCUGGGUUCAUAAGAGCCGCCCCCUGACUUCCAUGCACAUACCACAGUGACCCCAGUCUGGCACACAUUCACCAAACGUGCACAGCAGUGGACGGAUGAACUGGAAAUACCCAGAUACCACACUCACUAAUCUGACCAUACAACUUUACCUUUAUGAUACCUGUGAAAAAUUCAGAACCCUAAAAAACAGCUUUCCUGGUUUUGUACCGCUUUAACAUAACAUUUCUCUUCAGAUUUAUUUAUUUUAUGUGUAUCAAUGUUUAGGCUGCUCGAAAGGGGGUUCACCAUAUGCACACCUGGUGGUGUUCUCAGAGGGUCAGAAGAGGACAUCAGAUCCCUUCAAACUGGAGCUCUGCAUGGUGUGAGCCAUCAUUUCGGUGCUGGGAACCAAACCCAGAUCCUUUGCUUGGGCUGUGCGAUGCUUGCAUUGCAGAGAGGCUGUGGUUAAAAAUGUGACGUCCAGGGUCAAACUGCCUGGGGCUUGUCUCAGACCUGCCACUUGUGAAGAAGGCCUGAGCCAGUUGCAUGCCUUUACUCCCGGGAUUUUAUCAUCUGGAGAGCUGGACAGAUGUUUGCUGUGCCUGGGGAAGAACGUGGUCCUGUUCAGUUUAUAGUUAACGGAGUUGAAAUUACAGCAGAGGUGCAUGCAAGUGUCGUUGGCAGCACAGAGAUCGAUGGCAGCCGCGGGAGACCUCUGGGGUUCUGGUUGGUCAAGUGUUGGUUGAAGCUAAAUGUGGCUACGUCAUCAUUUCUCCGUCUUACACUCUGAGAGUGAUGAAAACGCUAUCAAUUAAAGCUUCCGGCUGAG
Non-coding RNA from Rattus norvegicus (Norway rat), 2156 nucleotides. The record is from RefSeq and is a predicted model, not a curated record. NCBI's taxonomy places the organism in Eukaryota, Metazoa, Chordata, Mammalia, Rodentia, Muridae.